UACGAAUCGUCCUAACGUUGUUCGGAAUUACUGGGCGUAAAGCGCACGUAGGCGGACCGGAAAGUCAGAGGUGAAAUCCCAGAGCUCAACUUUGGAACUGCCUUUGAAACUCCUGGUCUUGAGGUCGAGAGAGGUGAGUGGAAUUCCGAGUGUAGAGGUGAAAUUCGUAGAUAUUCGGAGGAACACCAGUGGCGAAGGCGGCUCACUGGCUCGAUACUGACGCUGAGGUGCGAAAGCGUGGGGAGCAAACAGG
This 253-nucleotide ribosomal RNA is filed under the name uncultured bacterium. RNAcentral's name for it is "partial 16S ribosomal RNA". It matches the Rfam family "Bacterial small subunit ribosomal RNA", at positions 524 to 776 of the family's 1533-position model. The record is from RNAcentral.